GGAUAGCCCUGAUGGAAGUGGCAUCCUUUUUCCUAUUUACCGGGUCAGGAUUUUGAAUCCUAAACAGGUAAAUAGGAAAAAGAUACAACGGACAGCAGGAAGAUUC
Molecule: small RNA, 106 nt
Filed under: Flavobacterium urumqiense
Lineage: Bacteria; Pseudomonadati; Bacteroidota; Flavobacteriia; Flavobacteriales; Flavobacteriaceae
Description: Flavo-1 RNA
Rfam family: Flavo-1 RNA
Source: RNAcentral